Molecule: transfer RNA, 95 nt
Organism: Pseudogymnoascus pannorum
Lineage: Eukaryota; Fungi; Ascomycota; Leotiomycetes; Thelebolales; Thelebolaceae
Rfam family: tRNA
About the family: Transfer RNA (tRNA) molecules are approximately 80 nucleotides in length. Their secondary structure includes four short double-helical elements and three loops (D, anti-codon, and T loops).
Source: Rfam
GGUUGUAUAGUGUAAUGGUUAGCACGUGAGAUUUUGAAGAUGUUCAGUCAUCAUCAUGUCUUCUUGAGAUCCCGGUUCGAUCCCGGGUACGACCU